AAAUGUUAAGGGCAAACUUAUCGAAAGAUAGGGACGCAAAGCCACGAGUCUAAGGCACUUUGGUGCUAUGAUAGUCGGGUUGCCAAA
This 87-nucleotide non-coding RNA is filed under the name Bacillus methanolicus. RNAcentral describes it as "c-di-GMP sequence". It matches the Rfam family "c-di-GMP-I riboswitch aptamer". Rfam says of the family: GEMM was predicted in a large-scale screen for bacterial structured RNA regulatory elements. Genes associated with GEMM are involved in a diverse array of functions, including chemotaxis regulation, signal transduction, secretion and chitin. RNAcentral also lists the same sequence under 1 other name. The record is from RNAcentral. Lineage: Bacteria; Bacillati; Bacillota; Bacilli; Caryophanales; Bacillaceae.